RNAcentral lists this ribosomal RNA (477 nucleotides) under uncultured bacterium. Its description in RNAcentral is "partial 16S ribosomal RNA". It matches the Rfam family "Bacterial small subunit ribosomal RNA", at positions 28 to 507 of the family's 1533-position model. The record is from RNAcentral.
GAUGAACGCUGGCGGCGUGCCUAAUACAUGCAAGUCGAGCGAACGGACGAGAAGCUUGCUUCUCUGAUGUUAGCGGCGGACGGGUGAGUAACGCGUGUAUACCCUACCUAUCAGACUGGGAUCACUUCGGGAAACCGGCGCUAAUACCGGAUAAUCUUUUGCACCGCAUUGUUCAAAAGUGAAAGACGGUCUUUCUGGCUGUUGUAGCUGGAUCCGCGCUUCAUUAGCUUGUUGGUAAGGUAGCGGCAUACCAAGGCAACGAUGGAUAGCCGGCACGAGAGGGGGACCGGGGACAUGGGGCCUACGAGAGGGCCCAGAAUGCUACGGGCGGCAGCAGGGGAGAACAUGGCAGAGUGGGCGGAAGUCAGAGGCAGCAACGCCGCGUGCGGGAUAACGGCUUUUGGGGUAUAAACAGAUUUCGCCUGUGACGAACAGAGCGUGACGGUAAUGGGUAAAAAAGCACCGGCUAACUACGUG